AUGACCAGAGAAGAACCUCUUCCCAAGAAAGUUCGACUGAGUGAAACAGACUUCAAAGUUAUGGCAACAGAUGAGUUAAUUCUAAGAUGGAAACAAUAUGAAGCAUACGUACAAGCUUUGGAGGGCAAGUAUACAGAUCUUAAACUCUAAUGAUGUAACUGGCCUAAGAGAGUCUGAAGAAAAACUAAAGCAACAACAGCAAGAGUCUGCACGCAGGGAAAACAUCCUUGUAAUGCGACUAGCAACCAAGGAACAAGAGAUGCAAGAGUGUACUACUCAAAUCCAGUACCUCAAGCAAGUCCAGCAGCCGAGCGUUGCCCAACUGAGAUCAACAAUGGUAGACCCAGCGAUCAACUUGUUUUUCCUAAAAAUGAAAGGUGAACUGGAACAGACUAAAGACAAACUGGAACAAGCCCAAAAUGAACUGAGUGCCUGGAAGUUUACGCCUGAUAGGUAA
Molecule: long non-coding RNA, 457 nt
Filed under: Homo sapiens (human)
Lineage: Eukaryota; Metazoa; Chordata; Mammalia; Primates; Hominidae
Description: non-protein coding lnc-PKHD1-2:1
Source: RNAcentral